AAUGAGAUAGCUAGGUCAAAUGGUGAUUCCAUUUCUAGUUUUCUGAGGAAUCUCUAUACUGCUUUCCAGAAUGGUCUUACCAAUUUGCAGUCCCACCAGCAAU
This 103-nucleotide microRNA precursor is filed under the name Marmota monax (woodchuck). Lineage: Eukaryota; Metazoa; Chordata; Mammalia; Rodentia; Sciuridae. The record is from RNAcentral.